UUGGUGUUCUUUAGACGACCACAGGCAGGUC
RNAcentral lists this non-coding RNA (31 nucleotides) under Mus musculus (house mouse). Lineage: Eukaryota; Metazoa; Chordata; Mammalia; Rodentia; Muridae. The record is from RNAcentral.